ACAGCAGUAGCCGCGGUAAAACGUAGGUGGCGAGCGUUGUCCGGAAUCAUUGGGCGUAAAGGGAGCGCAGGCGGGCAUGUAAGUCUUUCUUAAAAGUUCGGGGCUCAACCCCGUGAUGGGAAAGAAACUACAUGUCUUGAGUACAGGAGAGGAAAGCGGAAUUCCCAGUGUAGCGGUGAAAUGCGUAGAUAUUGGGAGGAACACCAGUGGCGAAGGCGGCUUUCUGGACUGCAACUGACGCUGAGGCUCGAAAGCCAGGGGAGCGAACGGGAUUAGAUACCCCAGUAGUCCCUGUCUCUUAUACA
This 305-nucleotide ribosomal RNA is filed under the name uncultured bacterium. Its description in RNAcentral is "partial 16S ribosomal RNA". It matches the Rfam family "Bacterial small subunit ribosomal RNA", at positions 506 to 809 of the family's 1533-position model. The record is from RNAcentral.